GCUGUAGAAGCACCACCAGACUGCAUUCUUUCCCUUCAGACCCUCAUGCGACUCAGCAAUGGUUGCAGAUUGCAAGGCGGUCCCUCAAUAGCAACACCACUGCUAUGUACAUUUACAAUCUGCAUUUUUCUGAAGAUUGCUCUUCCAAUCACAUGGAGGCUGAGUUGGGAUUUGUGUCAACCUGCCAUCUUCACCUCACUCCCUCUGCAGCUCCCAACCCUGCAAACUUGUGUGUGUGACCUGAAUACCCAUGUUUUUAGCAAGGUUUCAUGUCUGACUGAUUGUGAGAGUGACCCUGGAAUGAAAGAAACUGCAUGUCAAACAUGUCCAGUGGGUCUGCAACAUGACACUGUACAAGUGAAACCCUCCAGGAGAAGACAUCAGUUGAGACUAAGUCUCAUGAGAUGAAGAAGUUUAUCAUGUAUGAAGACAACUUAAUGCAACUUUUUCAGCAUUGUCC
Molecule: long non-coding RNA, 460 nt
Organism: Thunnus maccoyii (southern bluefin tuna)
Lineage: Eukaryota; Metazoa; Chordata; Actinopteri; Scombriformes; Scombridae
Exons: 3
Source: RefSeq, a predicted model, not a curated record